RNAcentral lists this ribosomal RNA (460 nucleotides) under uncultured bacterium. RNAcentral describes it as "partial 16S ribosomal RNA". It matches the Rfam family "Bacterial small subunit ribosomal RNA", at positions 338 to 795 of the family's 1533-position model. The record is from RNAcentral.
CCUACGGGUGGCAGCAGUGAGGAAUAUUGGUCAAUGGGCGUAAGCCUGAACCAGCCAAGUCGCGUGAGGGAUGAAGGUUCUAUGGAUCGUAAACCUCUUUUGUAGGGGAAUAAAGGGCGGGACGUGUCCCGGUUUGGAUGUACCUUAGGAAUAAGGAUCGGCUAAAUCCGUGCCAACAGACGCGGUAAUACGGGGGAUUCGAACGUUAACCGGAUUUAUUGGGGUUAAAGGGUGCGUAGGCGGGCUUUUAAGUCAGCGGGGAAAAUCUGGGGCUCAAACACAGACUUGCCGUUGAAACUGGGAGGCUUGAGUAUGUGUGAGGCAGGCGGAAUGCGUGGUGUAGCGGUGAAAUGCUUAGAUAUCACGCAGAACCCCGAUUGCGAAGGCAGCCUGCCAAGCCACGACUGACGCUGAUGCACGAAAGCGUGGGGAUCGAACAGGAUUAGAUACCCCUGUAGUC